AGGAGCCAGGGGGAAGAGCCAAAUGCCCUCUGAACAUUGAGGGGCCCCAGCCCCCUUAAAAUAAUGCAGGGGCCCCAAAGUGCCUUGGCCCCCAGGAGCUUAUACCCUCUGCCCGCUGGUGUGAAUGAAAUUUAGCUUGACAAGCUGGUAUUUCAGCCAAAAACCACAGUUGCAUAAUGCAACAGGUAAAGGCAAGGCAGCAAAAUGGUGCAGUGUCUUCCCUCACCGUAUCAUUGCAAUCACAAAGAGCUGGACAUGAAUAAAAAUCGCAUAUCAAAAGCCAAUCCCUCUCCUUUCUACACAGGCAGGAUUAAAACAACAUCAGUAGAGGUCCCAAGAAAGAACAUUCAUUCGCUGGAAAGGUGGCAAAUUAAAGCUUUAAAAAAAUCUGGAUGCUGGUUUUAA
Molecule: long non-coding RNA, 405 nt
Organism: Podarcis raffonei (Aeolian wall lizard)
Lineage: Eukaryota; Metazoa; Chordata; Lepidosauria; Squamata; Lacertidae
Exons: 3
Source: RefSeq, a predicted model, not a curated record